RNAcentral lists this unclassified non-coding RNA (311 nucleotides) under Melitaea cinxia (Glanville fritillary). Its description in RNAcentral is "misc RNA ENSMCXG00005003063.1". The record is from RNAcentral. Lineage: Eukaryota; Metazoa; Arthropoda; Insecta; Lepidoptera; Nymphalidae.
CUUGAAAUUUGGCAGAAAGGCUCCUUAUAAGGCGUAGACAUCCGUUAAGAACGGGUUUUACGAAAUUCGACCCCUAAGGGGAUAAAACGGGGGUUGGAAGUUUGUAUGAAAGUCCUAUGUUUAUGAAGUAAGAGACUUGAAAUUUAAAAUUUAUGCUCUAUAGAUGGUGAGAAGGUGUCCAAAUAAUGUAUCUUUAAGAAUCAACUCCUUUUCGGGGUUAAAACGGGGGAUCGUAGGUUGACGCACUGAUCACGAAAUCUCCGAAACUAUAACACCUACAAACUUAAAAUUUAGCAGGUAGGCUCCUAAUA